Molecule: ribosomal RNA, 428 nt
Filed under: uncultured Flavobacterium sp.
Lineage: Bacteria; Pseudomonadati; Bacteroidota; Flavobacteriia; Flavobacteriales; Flavobacteriaceae
Description: bacterial SSU rRNA
Rfam family: Bacterial small subunit ribosomal RNA
Source: RNAcentral
GAGUUUGAUCGUGGCUCAGGAUGAACGCUAGCGGCAGGCCUAAUACAUGCAAGUCGAGGGGCAGCACGGUUAGCAAUAACUGGUGGCGACCGGCGCACGGGUGCGUAACACGUAUACAAUCUGCCUUUAACAGGGGGAUAGCCCGGAGAAAUCCGGAUUAAUACCCCAUAAUACUCGGUGUGGCAUCACACUAAGUUAAAAGCUCCGGCGGUUAAAGAUGAGUAUGCGUCUGAUUAGCUAGUUGGUGAGGUAACGGCUCACCAAGGCGACGAUCAGUAGGGGAUCUGAGAGGAUUAACCCCCACACGGAUACUGAGACACGGAUCCGACUCCUACGGGAGGCAGCAGUAAGGAAUAUUGGACAAUGCCCGCAAGGGUGAUCCAGCCAUGCCGCGUGCAGGAAGACGGCCCUAUGGGUUGUAAAACUGC